This 467-nucleotide ribosomal RNA is filed under the name uncultured bacterium. RNAcentral describes it as "partial 16S ribosomal RNA". It matches the Rfam family "Bacterial small subunit ribosomal RNA", at positions 28 to 506 of the family's 1533-position model. The record is from RNAcentral.
GACGAACGCUGGCGGCGUGCUUAACACAUGCAAGUCGAACGGAAAGGCCCUGCUUUUGUGGGGUGCUCGAGUGGCGAACGGGUGAGUAACACGUGAGUAACCUGCCCUUGACUUUGGGAUAACUUCAGGAAACUGGGGCUAAUACCGGAUAGGAGCUCCUGCUGCAUGGUGGGGGUUGGAAAGUUUCGGCGGUUGGGGAUGGACUCGCGGCUUAUCAGCUUGUUGGUGGGGUAGUGGCUUACCAAGGCUUUGACGGGUAGCCGGCCUGAGAGGGUGACCGGCCACAGUGGGACUGAGAUACGGCGCAGACGCCUACGGGAGGCAGCAGUGGGGAAUAUUGCACAAUGGGCGGAAGCCUGAUGCAGCAAAGACGAGUGCGGGAUGACGGCCUUCGGGUUGUAAACCGCUUUCGCCUGUGACGAAGCGUGAGUGACGGUAAUGGGUAAAGAAGCACCGGCUAACUACGU